AUCUUUAAUAUGAAUAUAUGAUAAAUACAUAUGUAUGUUGAUUAUACAAUGAGUACAACUAGUUAAUUUCUUGAAUACUUAUAUAUGUUGUUUUAUUUU
Populus euphratica (Euphrates poplar) is the source of this 99-nucleotide long non-coding RNA. RefSeq lists it as uncharacterized. Lineage: Eukaryota; Viridiplantae; Streptophyta; Magnoliopsida; Malpighiales; Salicaceae. The record is from RefSeq and is a predicted model, not a curated record. The transcript has 4 exons.